Molecule: regulatory RNA element, 28 nt
Organism: Flavobacteriaceae bacterium 3519-10
Lineage: Bacteria; Pseudomonadati; Bacteroidota; Flavobacteriia; Flavobacteriales; Flavobacteriaceae
Rfam family: L19-Flavobacteria ribosomal protein leader
Source: Rfam
CAACCUCUGACGAAGGACGUGAAUGUUG